GCUUGCUUGAGAGACCAUACUCAAUCAUUGCCAGUUACUACUCACUGUUUUAUCUAAUGUCUCUGUUUUCAGUGUCAUCUGUGCAGUGGGGAUAAUAGCAGCACCAGCCUCAGCACUCAGAGAUGAACACUCAGCGAUCAAAGAUGAUGCUUAUAAAAUCCUUAGCCCACAGCCCUCACCUAGCAAACACUGCCUCACCUAUCAUCCCUGACACAGGAAGAAACAGAAAUACAAAGAGGUCAGGAAACUAGCCCACAUCAAGGAGGUGGUG
RNAcentral lists this long non-coding RNA (271 nucleotides) under Heterocephalus glaber (naked mole-rat). RNAcentral describes it as "lncRNA (ENSHGLG00100036001.1)". Lineage: Eukaryota; Metazoa; Chordata; Mammalia; Rodentia; Bathyergidae. The record is from RNAcentral.